GUGAUGCCAUUUUCAGCUUGGAGGAAAUGGCCUUUGAGCAAGACCUCAGUGGAGUGAGAGAGGGUACCCUUUGGAUGUCAGGAGGGAAGGUAUUCCAGGCAGAGGGAACCACAAGCUCUAAGACCCCAAGACAGAGUUCACCUGGCAGAGUCACCAGGCAGCAAUGAGGUCAGAAUGGCCAGAGCAGAGUGACCAAGGGGUAAGAGUGGGCCAGGAGCCAGAGCAGGGUUCCUUGAUGGCCAUGUAAGGACAGUGGAUUUUCAUCUCAGCUCAAUGAGAAACUGCUGGAGAAUGUUGAGCACCGAAUGAUAUGAUGACUUAUGUUUGUUUUUACAGUAUUUCAUUUUUUUUUUUUUAGAGACAUGGUCUUGCUCUGUUGCUCAAGCUUGAGUCAGAGGCAUGAUCAUAGCUCACUGAGGCCUCAAACUCCUGGGCUCAAGCGAUCCUCCCACUUUAGCCUCAUGAGUAGCUAUGACUACAGGAUCACUGGUGUGGUGUACAAGGAUGGAUUAAAUGAACAAGGUACAAUAAUGGAAAAAGUGUGACCAGUGAGAUGGUGGUUACAAUACUCCAGAACAGUGUCGCUUCCUCCACGACGUUUUUCCUGACCUCUCCUCUAUACUCCUGGGUUUAUCACAUCAAGAUACAGAGUGUUCAUCAAAGAAUCAUUAGAAGAAGAAAAAGUUGGGAAUCUACUAUGGACCAAUAGGGAAAACAGUUAAAUAAAUAAUGAUACAUCUAUUUGAUGUAUUACCAUGCAAAACACUCUUAAAAAUUAAAAGAAGAUGUAGAAGA
Molecule: non-coding RNA, 795 nt
Organism: Callithrix jacchus (white-tufted-ear marmoset)
Lineage: Eukaryota; Metazoa; Chordata; Mammalia; Primates; Cebidae
Source: RefSeq, a predicted model, not a curated record